AUUAUGUAUCCAUUUUUUCCUUCUCCCUCUUGGAUAUCCGCAGCAUGUGUGGAGGGAAGUCAGACAAAACCAAAAAGGGGAAAUAAUAAUUCUUCCAACCUUCUGUGCAGCCAAGUCUGACCCCUGCUUUUCUCCUAUUUCCAAGACUAUAAACUUACGGUGGAUUUUAUCUGAUUUUAAUUUUUAUUAUUUUAUCUUCAUUUAUUCUAACAAAUAUAUUAAAUAGAAGGCAAAAUGCAAUGAACUAUUCUUAACCUCUGCUGACUUUUAGGGCAAUUCCAAGCAUUCUAGGAAUUCCUCUUCAUGCCUUGGGCUGAAGGUGCAAUUCAAAACAAUGGUCACCUAAGCAGCAUUCUUCCCAUCACCAUGCUGAGAGCCACCAGAGUGUCAUCUCAAACUCCCUUCCAGGAGAUUUGGGUCAUCAGCACAGAUAGCUCUGAUAGCUCUGAUUGUCCCACCAUCUCCAAUAGACAUUUUUGGACUUAACCAUUGUCCUCCUGACCUGGGAACAGACCCCGGAUUUGCCACCCAUUGUCCUGAACUUGAUAUCUGCCCAAUCUCAUUAUUUACUUGCCCAGACGUUCAUUGUUUUACAAAUUCUAUUGACAAACAUCCAAAGAUGGGUGCAAUGACCUAGAAGCCUCCAUAUCCCAGGAAACACCUCUGACUGCUGAUUGGCAGGGUGGGGAUCCCCAGCUGCACCAUCACCACCUGGGCCAAUUAGGGCACGUGCCACCUAAACUCGCCCUCAACCAAUCAGAGGUGAGUAAAAUGCCAGCCGACUUUUCAGCUAAUCAGGGAAAGGGAAGGGAAUUUCAAACCAUAGCAAUGUUAAUGCAUGACAUUCCUUCUAUAUAAAAGUGACUGCAUCUCCCAUAUUGAUUAAAGUAAAGGUAAAGGUUCUCCCCUAACAUUAAGUCCUGUCAUGUCCAACUCUGGGAGUUGGUGCUCAUCUCCAUUUCUAAGCCAAAGAGCCAGCAUUGUCUGUAGACACCUCCAAGGUCAUGUGGCUGGCAUGACUGCAUGGAGCACUGUUACCUUCCCGCCAGAGCAGUACCUAUUGAUCUACUCACAUUUGCAUGUUUUCGAACUGCUGGGUUGGCAGAAGCUGGGGCUAACAGUAGGUAAUCACUCCACUCCCCGGAUUCUAACCUGAGAUCAGCCGCUCAGCGCUUUAACAUGCUGUGCCACCAGAGGUCCAUAUUGAUUAUGCUUGUACAUUUUGGCAUCCAUUACAGUAUACAGCAUCCCUUCUGCAGAUUGAAUAAAUAUUCUGUUGUUUGCUUUCACACUGGUGAGAUCCUGGUGGUCUUCUGUAACCAUGGCCUUUAGAAAACUGAAAUUUUCGGCUUCAGUAGGCUCUUGGUUUCUGCUGGGGUUUGAUUCUGGGAUGCCUCCAGUGGACACUGAAAUCUGUAGAUGCUCAUAUACAAUAUUAUAGUAAAAUGGUGCCCCUUAUAUAAAAUGGCAAAAUCAGGGUUUUGGAGGUAACUUUUAAAAUGUAUUUUCAAGCCAUGGAUGGUUGAAUCCCUGGGUGCAGAAUCUCUGGAUAUGGAGGGAUGGCUGUCUUUUCCAUUUCUGGAUUUGUGGCUGGAUCUUUGGAGGGGUCUGAGAACAGAAAAUCGACCCUUGGACCUAUUGGAUAGGCUCACCCUUGGAACAGCCCCACUGAAAUAAAUGAGACUUCACUGAUUUAUUACUUCAAUUAAUUGCGUUCAGCAGGUCUAAUCUUAAGUAUGAUGAAAUCUGGAUGCAACGCAUCAGUAUUCAGCUUUGAGCACUGUUUGAAUAUUUCCCUUCCAGAAAUAUUUUGAGAUUUCAUGGGAAAUAAAGGGAAAUGCCAGCAAAUGGCUCAUUAAGUGACUGACUGUAUAACUCAGUUAACUAAUACUUGAUAAUAUGACCAUAUUCCCCCAUAAUCAGGGUCAACACUUAAAUCACAAUUUUGCAGGAGGAUAUAAAAACUUUUAAUUCUCAAAUGAGAUAGAGAUGGCUUGGCAAAGGAAAAGCAAGCAUGCACAUGCAUAUACACCCACACACGCAUACACAUAAUAGGUUAUGAAAACUUCUUUCCAAUCCAUGGGACACCAUUUCCAUAAUGUCUAUUGGCUUUGGGAAAACAGAAAAAUAGCAACUGCACAGCCCUGUAAAUUGGUUUUUGCGCAUUAAAUAACUCCAACUCUCAUUUUGUGGGAAACAGAACUGGAGCCUUGUUUAUUCAAAUCCUGGUUGUACGGCAUGUUAUACAUCUUUCCAGAAUGUUACACUGUGCAUCUAGAUGACACUGUUGUAAAUAUCUUUAUUAUUUCUUAUGAUAAUAUCCCUCUGAUUUAUCCUUUAGGAAGAAAAGACACACAUCUGGUAUUCUAUUUGAACAAGAAUUUCAUUGAUCUACCAAGAGAUGGCAGUCGAGCAAUGUUUUCCUUUUGGACCUCAGAUGGGAAAUUUAGCAAGAAGAAGAAAAGGAAAGGGCAAAAGGCCCUAAAUACGUUUCCCUCCUCUUUUAGGUUUCUUAAUUUGAAAGCUAAAUGUUGGAAAUGGAUGGUCCGGAGAAUGGGAAUCUAUCUUUAAAAAAAAUAGCCGAAAGUGCCACAUGUGAAGUCAGCACAAAUUGCCUCACACUGACCUGUCAGAUUUAAUCUGCUUCAAACAUCUUUGUCAGAGAUGAUAGAGGAUUUAACCAUUUUGCUGACUUGGAAAUUGAGAUUAGCAAAAUGAUAGCUGGAUGCUGUGGUUUAAAAGCACUGAAUUCAAUCAUAGGCUGAUCUUUUUAAAAUGUUUUUUGGGAGAAGGUGCAAGAUAACAUUUUGCUUUUGUGAUGACUCAUGGGCCUUGUAGUCGUGUUCCUAGUACUAUUGUGGCAGACGAAGAGGAAAACAUGGGAUUUCUGCCGUUUCAGCCAGAGCUGGGGCCUCUCCACCUGGAGGAUGUUUCCCCUCAAGAAUCUAGCCAAACAGGCCUUGGGCAGAAUUCCCCCCCCCCGUUUUCCCGGGGGGACAAUUAUAAUAGAGAUAGAGGAGUCAGAGAGGCUAAUCGCCGGAGCCUGAGAAUCGCUGCCAAACUAGCUGAUUAGGUCUGCUUCCCUUGGGAAAUUCUAAGGAGUCAUGCAUCUGGACAGAGUUGGGUUUCGCUUCUCGUUCUCUAGGGAAAGUGUUCUGUUGGUGGGAAAACGAGACCCGAUAUAGGUGCUGGUCACAAGGGGAACUUUGCGGAGUCAAUUGAUCAGCUUGAGGAGAGAGAUCGUGUGUGGACUUUGUACCCCAGUUCCUUGCUUUCCGGAUCAAGAUUCAAGCCUGCCUUGUUUCACGUUUUGCCACGGACCUUGUUCAUGCUUCAUGUUUGCCUCGUUUCAAGUCUUUGAUCUAGCCAAGAAUCAAGUUUAUUUUCCAGCCUUGUUGUCAAGCUACGUUGGACUUUAAAGACUCUGUCAUUUCCCCACACUUUGCUUGGCAAAGUGUGUGUUUCGGUCAAGUGGAUUAAAACUUUGAACUCUAAUAUCUUAUAUUGGACAAUACAUUUCUGGACUAUAUUUGACCUCAUCUGAAAGGUCUGCUUCUGAACUAUAUUCUUCACUUGUUUUUAUUGACUUUAUAUAUUUCUAUAAUAAAGAUAUUAGAUAGA
Molecule: long non-coding RNA, 3621 nt
Organism: Anolis carolinensis (green anole)
Lineage: Eukaryota; Metazoa; Chordata; Lepidosauria; Squamata; Anolidae
Exons: 2
Source: RefSeq, a predicted model, not a curated record